Dioscorea cayenensis subsp. rotundata (Guinea yam) is the source of this 1171-nucleotide RNA transcript. RefSeq lists it as uncharacterized. The record is from RefSeq and is a predicted model, not a curated record. The transcript has 3 exons. Lineage: Eukaryota; Viridiplantae; Streptophyta; Magnoliopsida; Dioscoreales; Dioscoreaceae.
UCUCCUCGAAACGCCCAACCCUUUCAUUUCGUAUUCUUCUCCGCGCUUCCUCACUCAUUCUCUCUAUAUCUUUUCCAGCUUCCACCAUUUCCAAGAGAAAACCAUUCUCAACCUCAUCAGACAAAGAACCAUGGCGGAGGAAAUCACUAGAGAUACAGAACCACCUCAUUCUCAACUCACAUCAGACAAAGGAAAGAAGAAGAUGGCUCUUAAGCAAGAAGCCAUUGUUGAACGAGGAAUGGAAGAAGAACAAAUUGAACAAGUAAAUAUGACCCAGAGUUCUGACAGCAAGAGAUCUAAGUUUGCUAGGAUAUGGAGUGUGCAAGAGGAGCUUGAUUUACUCAAUGUUUGUGAGCGAUAUAAGAGAAAGAAAGCUCCUGAAUUCAAAUUGCAUGGUAAGCAUAGUUUGGAUUCUUUACUUGACUACAUGAAGAAGAAGUCACCUCAUUUGAGUGAUAAGUAUGAAAAGCAACAAAUCUUUCAUAAAUUGAGAAAUAUGAGGAGAAAAUAUCUGAAGAAAAUUUUGGGUGAAGGCCCUUCCAGAAAUGAUCCUUUUGAGCUUGAGUUGUAUGAGCUCUCUCGGAAAAUUUGGUAUAAAGAGAAAGAGAAUGAGAAAGAGAAUAAGAAAGAGAAUGAGAAAGAGAAAGAGAAUGACAAUGAGAAUGAGAAGAGGUUUCCUUGUUUAACAAGGGCUGUAGAACAGUGUAGCAGUGGUUUUCCAUAUGUGUUUCAGGGGAGCAAAAUGGUGGACAUGAUUGACCCAUUGAAGGCAGAAAAGCUGGAGAAGGAGUGGGCAAAGUUUCAGAACUAUGCUUUAUCUCAUUGGACUCUUCUGAUGAGGAAGACAUUGGAUUUACUCAUUGAAACUGCAAAGAAAUCAGAUCGAAAGAAACGGAGCAUACUGAUGUGAUCCGAAGCUUAUUAUUCAUCAUUUUUGCACCAUGGUGUAUUGAGGUUUCACAUGUUCUAGUGGGAAGAAAAGGAGAAGAUUAAGGUGGCAUGAACCUUAAAUUUCAUUAUUAAUGGCAUCCGUGAAUUCUCCAAUUUCUGCUCAUAUUUUGUGUCUGGGUACUACUGUUAACAGCUCAUGCUUUUUCAUGCUUUAAACAUACAGUCAGUUUAAUCUUAAGUUUUUUUUUUGUUGGAAAAAGAGUACAAUCUCAAACUUAAU